This 899-nucleotide ribosomal RNA is filed under the name Cladosporium xylophilum. RNAcentral's name for it is "LSU rRNA". It matches the Rfam family "Eukaryotic large subunit ribosomal RNA", at positions 36 to 961 of the family's 3401-position model. The record is from RNAcentral. Lineage: Eukaryota; Fungi; Ascomycota; Dothideomycetes; Cladosporiales; Cladosporiaceae.
UAGCAUAUCAAUAAGCGGAGGAAAAGAAACCAACAGGGAUUGCUCUAGUAACGGCGAGUGAAGCAGCAAUAGCUCAAAUUUGAAAUCUGGCGUCUUCGACGUCCGAGUUGUAAUUUGUAGAGGAUGCUUCUGAGUAACCACCGACCUAAGUUCCUUGGAACAGGACGUCAUAGAGGGUGAGAAUCCCGUAUGCGGUCGGAAAGGUGCUCUAUACGUAGCUCCUUCGACGAGUCGAGUUGUUUGGGAAUGCAGCUCUAAAUGGGAGGUAAAUUUCUUCUAAAGCUAAAUAUUGGCCAGAGACCGAUAGCGCACAAGUAGAGUGAUCGAAAGAUGAAAAGCACUUUGGAAAGAGAGUUAAAAAGCACGUGAAAUUGUUAAAAGGGAAGGGAUUGCAACCAGACUUGCUCGCGGUGUUCCGCCGGUCUUCUGACCGGUCUACUCGCCGCGUUGCAGGCCAGCAUCGUCUGGUGCCGCUGGAUAAGACUUGAGGAAUGUAGCUCCCUCGGGAGUGUUAUAGCCUCUUGUGAUGCAGCGAGCGCCGGGCGAGGUCCGCGCUUCGGCUAGGAUGCUGGCGUAAUGGUCGUAAUCCGCCCGUCUUGAAACACGGACCAAGGAGUCUAACAUCUAUGCGAGUGUUCGGGUGUCAAACCCCUACGCGUAAUGAAAGUGAACGGAGGUGAGAACCGCAAGGUGCAUCAUCGACCGAUCCUGAUGUCUUCGGAUGGAUUUGAGUAAGAGCAUAGCUGUUGGGACCCGAAAGAUGGUGAACUAUGCCUGAAUAGGGUGAAGCCAGAGGAAACUCUGGUGGAGGCUCGCAGCGGUUCUGACGUGCAAAUCGAUCGUCAAAUUUGGGUAUAGGGGCGAAAGACUAAUCGAACCAUCUAGUAGCUGGUUCUGCG